GGAUAGCAGGAAUCCCAUCCUAGAUGUAGGCUAAGGAGUUUCUGCUGAACUACAAAGGGUUAUUAUCGCUUCCCUUUGUGUGUGUGUGUAAUCCUCACAUAAAAGUCUUCUCAUAGAGGUAGAGGUCUUCACCAGAUGGAGAAUUCAAUGGCACAUAUGUGAUCCUCCCUUAGAAAUUAUAAGACAAGUCUCUGUAAAUAUAAUGGGACAUUUUUGUUUACUAGGAACAGUGAGAUGUCAUCUUUAAUUUUCUCUAUAUGGAACGGUUACGCCAACAGAAGCACACAGAAGCAAAUGUUUACCACAAGAGCUUGCAUGCAUAACCCUUACCAACUGCACAGUGGGUGUGAAUUACAGUGGAUGUCACCUUUAGUUAGUUUUUACACGUUUCUUUAAUCAAAAUACAGAUCAAUAAACUUUAAUGGUCAUUUGCAAUAGAA
Molecule: long non-coding RNA, 440 nt
Organism: Pseudophryne corroboree (corroboree frog)
Lineage: Eukaryota; Metazoa; Chordata; Amphibia; Anura; Myobatrachidae
Exons: 3
Source: RefSeq, a predicted model, not a curated record